UCCCAUCAGGAGAAGAUGUGACCAAUGCCCAAAGACCAUCGGGUGCUCCCCUGGGGGUCUGACCUCAAUCAGGACAGUCCUCCUUAGGUGUGGUCAACAUCCUUUCUCUAAGAAGUUUCUAAGGGCAGGGAUCCUAUGUUGCCACCUGAGAACCUCACUUCCUAGCUCCAGCAAGGCCUUGUGGGAGGGGCCCUUAAUGAUGACAAGCACGGAAGACCGUCCAUGUGCAGGUACGUUCCAAUAGCCAGCCUUCCCAAGAGCCAUCACUCUGAGCUGAAAGUCCCCAUGGGCUGGGGGAGGGACUGCCCUCCAGAUGUUGUUGGAAAUCUAACACAACCCCUCCCCAACUCCUUCUCCCACUUCCCGCUCCAUUUCCCCUAAAUAUUUACUGAUUUUUUAUUUACAUUCUUUGCCCGAGGUGCCCAGCCCCUGUCAGGUCCCAUUUGCUUGCCCGUCCCCUCCUGCCAGCUCCCCUCCACAUCCCUCACAUCUGGAGCCAGCAGUCCUGUGGGGCUGGCCACAACCUCCCCCCACCUCCAGUUCUGAGGGAAAAGGGGAGGGGAGACCAGUAGAUUGGUAGCUCUGGGCAGGGCUGGGGUGGGAGAGGCUCUGAGACAGGGGCAAUUCACAGGCAUGCCUGGCCUGCCCCAAUCUGGGAUCGCUUUAAUCACCCCCUUUGUUUCACGAGGACUUCUGGAUGGGGUUGAUGGAUGCCAGAUGCUGGGAGCACCCUUACCCUAGGAGGACUCCAGAAUGAAGGAGGGAGGAAGGGCGGAGGGUGAACCUCGACUGAACUGACAGCCAGGGAUCCAACUCUGUUUCUGGCAUAUGGGGCAGAAUUAGGGUUGCUGCCCUCGCGAGUUUGCUUCCUUCCAGCUGCGCAGGGAACCUGCUAGGAAAUCAAGUGUUCCUCUCCACUCGCAGCAACCAGCCCUUUGACUGCAGUGGGGCAGGUACUGUCCGGGGUGCUGACGUGAUGUCUGACAAUCAACGGAUUAUCUCUACUUACUUCUGAGGGACCACCCUGCAAUAUGGUUCUCCCGACGGUGCCUCUGAGUUUGGACUGUUUCCAUCCCGGUCCACCUGUGACCUAUAAAGUUUCUCUACUCCAGGAAGUCCCCUGGGACUGCUCUGAGGAACCAGUCUGGCUGUGUCUAGACAGUAGACACUCAUCUUUUCUCUUAAUUUUCCGGAGCAGAGAGAGAUGGUGCUGCCUACAUCCUCCCUGCCGUCUCCCACAAACCUUCCUCCUGCCAUCCUGAGUUUCUCAAAGAUUUUGUCUUCCUUUCUCUCCUCUUUCCCACUCACUUUCCACCCCCUGAAAAAACGGUCCAAAGACUCCACUUCUCCCCUCCAGAAUGACUUAUGACUGGACCAUUUCAAAGGUGCAAAGGCAACAAGUCCUGGGCUCCUGGGGCCUGGAUGCCUCGAAGGACUCACAGCAAGGCGGCUGUGAUGGGGUUCGAUGCACUAACGGUCCUGGCUGGCUACCCAGGAACCCUGUUUUUAAGUAGUGGUAACUAAUGACUGGCCCAAGAUAGAGGUGGGAUUCCUCUUCCCCGGCUGCCUCUGAUAGCUAGCCUCUCCCUACCCACAGGAGCCCAAGGCUCUGAAGACCUAUCUGGAUGUCUUUCCCCUGGGCACAUCACUCAUUCGAGUUUUGCUCCUUCAAACAGUUACUCAUCGAGCAUCCUCUACAUGCUGGAAACUGUGCUGGCCUGGGGACACUGAGAAAGCAACACGGUCUUGGCUUCUACCCAUGCACAGCCUGCGGCUCAGUGGAAAGCAAUGUCAAUCAUUCAGUCCACAACUGGAAGCAGAGUGACAGCCUGGAUCAGUGAAAAAAAAAAAAAAGAUGGCUCAGUGCAAACACUCAGAUCUUAGAUCUGACCAGCAUGGGGAAGUUGGAAGCCUUGUCCAAGGGAUGGAUGCACUAGAUGAAACCUGAGGGGAUGGGGAAACAGACAGACAGAAGGGAUGGUAUCUUCAAGGGUGCUGAAGCAGAAGGAAUAUAUGCAAGAUGCUGGAAGAAGAUGAGG
Microtus ochrogaster (prairie vole) is the source of this 2039-nucleotide long non-coding RNA. RefSeq lists it as uncharacterized. NCBI's taxonomy places the organism in Eukaryota, Metazoa, Chordata, Mammalia, Rodentia, Cricetidae. The record is from RefSeq and is a predicted model, not a curated record.